CAAGUCGAACGAGAAAGUGGAGCAAUCCAUGAGUACAGUGGCGUACGGGUGAGUAACACGUGGGUAAUCUACCUCUUAGNUGGGGAAUAACUUUGGGAAACCGAAGCUAAUACCGCAUAAGCUCGAGAGAGGAAAGCAGCAAUGCGCUGAGAGAGGAGCCCGCGGCCGAUUAGCUAGUUGGCAGGGUAAAAGCCUACCAAGGCAGAGAUCGGUAGCCGGCCUGAGAGGGCACACGGCCACACUGGCACUGAAACACGGGCCAGACUCCUACGGGAGGCAGCAGUGGGGAAUCUUGCACAAUGGGGGCAACCCUGAUGCAGCGACGCCGCGUGAGCGAUGAAGCCCUUCGGGGUGUAAAGCUCUUUCGUCAGGGAAGAUAGUGACGGUACCUGGAGAAGCAGCUGCGGCUAACUACGUGCCAGCAGCCGCGGUAAUACGUAGGCAGCGAGCGUUGUUCGGAGUUACUGGGCGUAAAGGGUGUGUAGGCGGUUGUUUAAGUUUGGUGUGAAAUCUCCCGGCUCAACUGGGAGGGUGCGCCGAAUACUGAGCGACUAGAGUGCGGGAGAGGAAAGUGGAAUUCCUGGUGUAGCGGUGAAAUGCGUAGAUAUCAGGAGGAACACCGGUGGGUGUAGACGGCUUUCUGGGACCGUAACUGACGCUGAGACACGAAAGCGUGGGUAGCAAACAGGAUUAGAUACCCUGGUAGUCCACGCCCUAAACGAUGCAUAUUUGGUGUGGGCAGUUCAUUCUGUCCGUGCCGGAGCUAACGCUUUAAAUUUGCC
This 782-nucleotide ribosomal RNA is filed under the name uncultured Bacillota bacterium. RNAcentral describes it as "bacterial SSU rRNA". It matches the Rfam family "Bacterial small subunit ribosomal RNA", at positions 58 to 870 of the family's 1533-position model. The record is from RNAcentral. Lineage: Bacteria; Bacillati; Bacillota.